CCUACGGGAGGCUGCAGUGGGGAAUAUUGGACAAUGGGCGAAAGCCUGAUCCAGCCAUGCCGCGUGUGUGAAGAAGGCCUUCGGGUUGUAAAGCACUUUCAGUGGGGAAGAAAGCCUUGGGGCUAAUACCCUCGAGGAAGGACAUCACCCACAGAAGAAGCACCGGCUAACUCCGUGCCAGCAGCCGCGGUAAUACGGAGGGUGCGAGCGUUAAUCGGAAUUACUGGGCGUAAAGCGCGCGUAGGCGGUCUGAUAAGCCGGUUGUGAAAGCCCCGGGCUCAACCUGGGAACAGCAUCCGGAACUGUCAGGCUAGAGUGCAGGAGAGGAAGGUAGAAUUCCCGGUGUAGCGGUGAAAUGCGUAGAGAUCGGGAGGAAUACCAGUGGCGAAGGCGGCCUUCUGGACUGACACUGACGCUGAGGUGCGAAAGCGUGGGUAGCAAACAGGAUUAGAUACCCCUGUAGUC
This 465-nucleotide ribosomal RNA is filed under the name Vreelandella stevensii. RNAcentral's name for it is "partial 16S ribosomal RNA". It matches the Rfam family "Bacterial small subunit ribosomal RNA", at positions 338 to 795 of the family's 1533-position model. The record is from RNAcentral. Lineage: Bacteria; Pseudomonadati; Pseudomonadota; Gammaproteobacteria; Oceanospirillales; Halomonadaceae.